AGGCGUAUGUGCAACUGAACCUUCAAGUAGAGACAUAAGAUGAUUUUUAACUUUGAUUAGAAGCUUUUCAAGAUAAUCUCUUCCUGUUUUGUCCUCUGGCAAGAGCUCCCCUUCCUUCAUUUGGUCACAGAGUGGUUUUCUUUUAAAAGAACUAUUCAGCUUUUGGAAAACCGACAAGAAGAAACUGAGAGAAUUCACACACCACAGAAAACUGGGUACACAGCUGCUACUAAACUUCAUUGUCCUUUUAUCUCCAGCCUCUCCACCAACAGAAAGACACAGAAGGAAAGAGAAAGAGAGACAGAGAAUGAAUCUGAAGUCUGAAACCUUGUAGUUCGUUUGAACCAGUCAGUUCUUGUUCAGAAAGGAAGAGGAAGGGCAGGAGUGGCUAUUGGCGCCAGAGGGAGGGUUAGUGACUCAGUCCUACCCUCCUAACAGAUUAAACACCAAGGAACACAAGCCUUGGAACCAGACCUGGCUCUGACCCUCUGCCCCGCCCCUUGUAGUGUGACAGGGAAGCUCCAGUUCCCUUAUCAUACCUCAAUUUUAUCCAUAAAGUGGCGACAUGAGGAAAAUGCCCAGCAUUUAACUAACGAUCUUCUGUUGGUCCCUUCUGGUAGGGCCGAGGAGACCCCAGCAUCACGGUACCACCUACUCAUCCUCCAAUAUCCAGCUGGCACCUCCUCUGGGAAGACUUCCUGGAUAUUUCAGGUUGAUUUAGCAGCAUGCUAUGUGUAUCACACUGAAAUGGCCUACAUCCAGAAGCUGACACAUGGUAAAGAAUUAAAAGUUUCUUGAAAGAAUGCAUUAAUGCAACUUAUUUUCUGCUUCUAUUGUUUUUCUUGUAGUAUACCAACUAGGACACUUUUUGAAGAAACUGCAAUUCUUCUCAGCAUUCAAUUCUGUCCAGUGGCAAAGGUGAUCAGGAGAUUCAAAGUAGUAAAAAUAAUCCCCAAAGUAGUGCUACCACUAGGCCCUGGAAACCAACCUCACAUACUAAAGACAGACUGAAGAUCUGCAUUGAGCUAAGCCCUAAUUAUGUUCAGUGUUCUUAACUUUGAAUCUAGACUCCCAGGCUUUGUACUAUGCCGUAACCAAUUGGGCAACUAAAUGAUGACCGGUACAGCACAGCUGCUAAGAUCACAGACUAAUCCAAACUGCCCGGGUCUGUACCUUGCUUCAGCCACUGUCUAGCUGUGUGUCUUGGGCAAGUUAGUUAAUCCCUUUAUGCCUCAGUUUGCUUAUCUGUAAGAUGGGAACAAUAUUAACAGUACUGACCUCAUAGAAUAAAUGAUUUCACAUACGUGAAUGGUUACAACAGUGCUUUGCACAAAUUAAGUACUACUUAACCAGCUAUUUUUUGUAUUUCUUCUAUUAACUGGCAAACACAGAGAGAGAGGAAUAUCUAAGAAGCAAAUCAGAGGUAAUUUCAGGGUGUCUCUUUGCUGUGUGGAGACACUCCUGGCUCUCCUAGUGCCCACUUAAUUAAUUCACAGAUCAGAAUUGCAAGACCUAUGUCUAAUAUUGCCAGGGGUCUGCAGAAGAGACAUUGUCCUCCUUCCAGCUGGCUCCUCCAACACAGCCAAAGCAACAUGGGUUGUUCAUUCCUUACACAUCAACUAUAGCUGUGGGAACAAUGAGUUCUGCCUUUUUUUCCCUGUCCACUGCUUUCAUAUUUAAGGUUGCUCCUGUGUCAGUAGUGAUUAUCUCAGAAGAUCUCCCUGUAUAUAAGGCCCCAUGAACAAGAAAAUUUUGUAUCAAUUAACAAGAGACAAGCUUAGGGGAAGAAGUGCUUCCUGAACAUCACCUGCAGACUAGACUAUAGCACUCUUGUGGGAUCCCAACAAAUACGUCGUCCACCCCGCUCCCAACUAUUUAAAGAAUAUUUGAAAGCACUCGAAUUCUUUGGCAUAAACACUCUUUGAAAUGCAAGUUAUGUCGAAUCCUAGAAUUUUACUUCUGGAAGAUGUGGUGGGAGAUUAUAUAAAAUGGGGAAUCAGUGACCCAGCACCAUGGCUUCCCAGCUCCUCUGCACGCCCCCCCAUAUUUCCCAACCCUUGCAUUUGAAAUUUAAAAUGUUCUUUAAAAAAUUAAAGGCUUUCAGUGUUGAGUGAUAGUCACGCACUGCAUAAGGAUAUUUCAGUCAACAAUGGACCAAAUAUAUGACAGUAGUCGCGUAAGAUUAUAAUGAAGCUGAAAAAUUCCUACAGCCUAAUGAUGUCACAGCUGUCAUGUCAUAGCAUUUUUUUUAAAUAUAGUGUAGCCUAAGUUUAUAAUAUUUAUAAAGUCUACAAUAGUGUAACGUCCUAGGCCUUCACAUUCACUCACCACUCACUGACUCACCCAGAGCAACUUCUAGUCCCACAAGCUCCAUGCA
This 2377-nucleotide long non-coding RNA is filed under the name Homo sapiens (human). RNAcentral's name for it is "HSALNT0120161". Lineage: Eukaryota; Metazoa; Chordata; Mammalia; Primates; Hominidae. The record is from RNAcentral.